This 465-nucleotide ribosomal RNA is filed under the name uncultured bacterium. RNAcentral describes it as "partial 16S ribosomal RNA". It matches the Rfam family "Bacterial small subunit ribosomal RNA", at positions 338 to 795 of the family's 1533-position model. The record is from RNAcentral.
CCUACGGGAGGCAGCAGUAGGGAAUCUUCCACAAUGGACGAAAGUCUGAUGGAGCAACGCCGCGUGAGUGAAGAAGGGUUUCGGCUCGUAAAGCUCUGUUGGUAGUGAAGAAAGAUAGAGGUAGUAACUGGCCGUUAUUUGACGGUAAUUACUUAGAAAGUCACGGCUAACUACGUGCCAGCAGCCGCGGUAAUACGUAGGUGGCAAGCGUUGUCCGGAUUUAUUGGGCGUAAAGCGAGUGCAGGCGGUUCAAUAAGUCUGAUGUGAAAGCCUUCGGCUCAACCGGAGAAUUGCAUCAGAAACUGUUGAACUUGAGUGCAGAAGAGGAGAGUGGAACGCCAUGUGUAGCGGUGAAAUGCGUAGAUAUAUGGAAGAACACCAGUGGCGAAGGCGGCUCUCUGGUCUGCAACUGACGCUGAGGCUCGAAAGCCUGGGUAGCGAACAGGAUUAGAUACCCGGGUAGUC